Long non-coding RNA from Aegilops tauschii subsp. strangulata, 2256 nucleotides. RefSeq lists it as uncharacterized. Lineage: Eukaryota; Viridiplantae; Streptophyta; Magnoliopsida; Poales; Poaceae. The record is from RefSeq and is a predicted model, not a curated record.
CCAUCACGUACCCCGCAUCCUCCCCGUUGGCUCCCUCCCCCCAACCCAACCCGCGUCCUCCUUCUCCCGUAUCACUCGGACCUGUAGCGCCGCCGUCACCGAUGCACCUCCAUUCCCCUUCUCCCCACCACCUUCGGCUUCGGCAUGGAGCAAUAGCUCCUCUUGCCUCACCGGCCGUCCUGACCAAGGCAGGGCGCCUUGUCCUCGCCUUCCCCGAGCGCGGAGGGAGAGAUGGCGACGACUGGAUCUCGCUAAGUGGCCAGCGAGGAGGACGGCUUGGCCCCGCAGCGACGCCAACAAGGCACUUCCAUCCAGCGUACGUCACCUAUUCUUCCUCCUCUCGCUCUGAUCCUACCGUGGCCACCACCAAUAGUAGUAAGAAGUCCAACUCUUCUGUGGUAUGAACUAUCACUUGUGUUGUUGUUUGAUGUAUUUUCUUGCAUCCUUGCUAAUUCGGGUUGAUCUGCUAUUGCCCCACACGAGGUUGUCCUCCUCUCUGGUUUUGUUGACUCCGACGGCGCCAGCUCGACCUACAGGAUAUCUUUGACAUUUGUUGUUAUUGGGGUGUCAAUGCUGGCGAUGAAAAGAUUAUCAAUGUUCUUAUUGGGUUGUCAAUGCUGGAAGCUGCUCAUGGGACAUAUAACUUGAAGGUCCACUCCAGUGCUACUUUUCUUUCUACUAAUAUUCAUUUUAAUCAGGAACAAUAGACAGUGAUUCCACACUUGUAGUUGACUUCAUGUGCUUCCUUGGACUUAUAUCUUCGGGUUUUAUUGUGUGGUGGUGGUGCCGUCGAGAUCGGGGAUGGUGCUCCGCGGCCUGGAUGCCGCGUUCUUCCUCCCCGUGCGAUUCCCUUCUCCCUCGGCUUCUUCUACGCCUGAUUCGUCCUCGACCGCCUGGUAUACAAGGAGCAAAUGAUGUUUCAAUAAUACAAAGGGUUGAUGUUGGUUUUGGUACGUUCAUAGGUUUAUGCGGCACAUAUAUACUGGCAUAAUACUUGCUGAAGCACCUCCCUAGCUUCCUUGCCUUGCUGCUCUAGCACCAGCCUCGUCGCAGUUGAGGUUUGCUCUGAUUUCCAUGCCCCGUUGUUUCGUUUAUGCUUGAUUUGCUGUGUGGAAAUGCAAUGUGAUACUUGCAUGAUUGGUGGAUAAAAUCCUAAUGUAGAAACACAUAUAAUUAUUAAUGGUGAUCUUUGGAUGAGUUCUUCUUUCUGACUGAUUGCAUAAUUUAGUUGUAUAAAUCAUUAUGAAGUAAAUAAAUUUGGGGGAAUUCUCUUCUUCACAUGUAAAGAGGUGGGAUCCAUACGGCAGGGAUGAAAGCCAGCUUCAAUUGGCAUGCAAUAAGACCAAAUGGCAGGUAAUGAGUUAUAUUCUUUAGUUAUGAGCUUGAUUCAAUGUCCUGCGUUAUAGAAAGUUCAAACUUGAAUUGCUCUGUUUCAGGAUUUAAACCUUCUUGAGUUAUGCAAUCACAAAUAUCUUGCACCUAGAGAAAGAAACUUGGAUGUUUUGAUCACACAAAGGUGUUUUUUACAUGUAUGUGCUUUCUUUUAAUCUAUGCAUGAGCCAGGUUUCUAUGAUAUGCAGUUUGGACCAUGAGCUUGCGGAUGCUAAAGAAAUUCUUAGGUACGUAGUCUGGAAUAAAAGCAUUCAAGAAGUUCACUAGGCCAGAAUGCUUGAAGUCGGUCUUGAUGAUUGUAACUCACGUUUCCUCAGCAUGCUAAAAUGGCUCAAGUUAUUCAUCUGUAUGUUGUAGGUACCCUCCAACUCCUUUUUGUUUUAAUGAUUUUCACUAACAAAUAAUUCUUACAUAAGACCUUGGGUAACAAAGAUGUUCUUAUUUAUCCAACAUUAUUUACAAACUUUGAUGGAUUAGAAAAAGAUUAGAAUUAAUGGAUGCAGGUAGUACACAAUUUUAUAUGCUGGCAGCUAUGCAUAAUGUAUGAGUCUACGCAAGUGUCAGUUCUGUAUUAUUGUCUGUUUUCAAGUAUUUGUCACUUGGGUUUCUGAUAACUGAAGUGGGUGUCUGUAGUUCCAAUGCAGAGCAGAUCGAGUGGUGUAAGGUGGUGUUGCUGUGGGACAUUGCAACUGCUCCCAGAUCGAUUGAAGCUUCGUUUGAAUGUUUUAGUUCAUCUAUGCUUUUGAUUAUAUUUUUACAGAAUAAUGGGGGUUAUACUUAUUCUCGACGGCCUUGCGGAGAGUAUUCUGAAUUGUAUUCAUCGCUUCCAAGUACCUGUUUAUAUUUCUUAUGAGUAUUCACCUA